GUAGGUGACAAGCGUUGUCCGGAUUUACUGGGCGUAAAGAGCGCGCAGGCGGUCGAUCAAGUCGAGUGUGAAAGCCCCCGGCUCAACUGGGGAGGGUCAUUCGAUACUGAUCGACUCGAAGGCAGGAGAGGGAAGUGGAAUUCCCGGUGUAGUGGUGAAAUGCGUAGAUAUCGGGAGGAACACCAGUGGCGAAGGCGACUUCCUGGCCUGUUCUUGACGCUGAGGCGCGAAGGCUAGGGGAGCAAACGGGAUUAGAUACCCCGGUAGUCCUAGCCGUAAACGAUGGACACUAGGUGUUGGUGGUAUCAACCCCGCCAGUGCCGUAGCUAACGCAUUAAGUGUCCCGCCUGGGGAGUACGGCCGCAAGGCUA
RNAcentral lists this ribosomal RNA (371 nucleotides) under uncultured bacterium. Its description in RNAcentral is "bacterial SSU rRNA". It matches the Rfam family "Bacterial small subunit ribosomal RNA", at positions 527 to 896 of the family's 1533-position model. The record is from RNAcentral.